This 376-nucleotide unclassified non-coding RNA is filed under the name fungal sp. RNAcentral describes it as "partial internal transcribed spacer region". The stretch from base 1 to 46 matches the Rfam family "Eukaryotic small subunit ribosomal RNA", at positions 1786 to 1831 of the family's 1831-position model. The record is from RNAcentral. Lineage: Eukaryota; Fungi.
AAGUCGUAACAAGGUUUCCGUAGGUGAACCUGCGGAAGGAUCAUUAACACGUAUCCAAACGUUAAACCCCCCUGUGAACCUUCACCUGUACUCGUACGUCCGUUAGAAAAAGCAGCAAUCCCUGGUAAAUCAUCGCCGAACAGUUUUCGAUUCAGGGAUGUCUGCAAGGAGCGUGCAUGUUGUGCGAGCAAGUGGCCUGGCAUCCCCAAGCAGUUAGUGUCUGAAAGUGUCAUUAACUGUGUAAGGAUGACGCAGUCACGAUCGUUGGAGGCCCACACGGCCGACGACCGGGUCACUGGGCGCAAGCCCCCCUAUAACAAACGCUGCUAAUCGCGGCCGCGAUAAUACGCAGUUAACAAUGGAUAUCUUGGUUCUC